UCUAGGAAGUGCGCUGGAGAAAUCCUUAGCUGUCAGCCAAGGUGGAGAGCUCUAUGAAGAGUGGCUGGAACUUAGAAACGGUUGCCUCUGCUGUUCAGUGAGGGACAAUGGCCUUAGAGCUAUUGAGAAUUUGAUGCAAAAGAAGGGGAAAUUUGAUUACAUACUGUUAGAGACCACUGGAUUAGCAGAUCCUGGUAAGAAGUGAGAUUAUUAAUAACCAGAAUAUAGUUCUGUGAUAUAUUGUAAAUAGAUGUAUUAGAGGAAUAUCUAAAAUGAGUAUUAAAGCUUUUGUUAGUAUUAAACCAAAAACUUUUUUUGGUUUAAAAGAGGAAAAGUACUCGGUUGUCAUUUUCUUUGGCAGUUGAAUGAAUGAACAGAGUAUUUCUUGGUACUUUUAAGCUGUUAAUAGAAUUUGAAGUUUUAUUGAUUGACUUAGGAUUAUUUGUAAGAACAGAAGUUGUUAAAAAUAAGGACAUGUAGGAAGAGCAGAGACGUUCUACCUCUAAGUACAGUUGUCCCUUAUCCAUGGGGUAUUAGUUCCGGAACCUCUGAGGAUACCAAAAUCUAUUAAUGUUCAAGUCCCUUACAUAAAAUGGUGUAGUAUUUGCCUAUAACCUAUGCACAUCCUCCCAUAUACUUUAAAUCAUCUGUAGAUUACUUAUAAUACCUAAUACAA
Molecule: small RNA, 676 nt
Filed under: Pan troglodytes (chimpanzee)
Lineage: Eukaryota; Metazoa; Chordata; Mammalia; Primates; Hominidae
Description: retained intron
Source: RNAcentral